AUUGAACGCUGGCGGCAGGCUUAACACAUGCAAGUCGAGCGGGGUGAUGGUGCUUGCACUAUCACUUAGCGGCGGACGGGUGAGUAAUGCUUAGGAAUCUGCCUAUUAGUGGGGGACAACAUCUCGAAAGGGAUGCUAAUACCGCAUACGUCCGACGGGAGAAAGAAGGGGAUCACUUGUGACCUUGCGCUAAUAGCUGAGCCUAAGUCGGAUUAGCUAGUUGGUGGGGUAAAGGCCUACCAAGGCGACGAUCUGUAGCGGGUCUGAGAGGAUGAUCCGCCACACUGGGACUGAGACACGGCCCAGACUCCUACGGGAGGCAGCAGUGGGGAAUAUUGGACAAUGGGGGGAACCCUGAUCCAGCCAUGCCGCGUGUGUGAAGAAGGCCUUAUGGUUGUAAAGCACUUUAAGCGAGGAGGAGGCUCUUUUGGUUAAUACCCAAGAUGAGUGGACGUUACUCGCAGAAUAAGCACCGGCUAACUCUGUGCCAGCCGCCGCCGUAA
RNAcentral lists this ribosomal RNA (503 nucleotides) under uncultured bacterium. Its description in RNAcentral is "partial 16S ribosomal RNA". It matches the Rfam family "Bacterial small subunit ribosomal RNA", at positions 30 to 523 of the family's 1533-position model. The record is from RNAcentral.